UAGGCAGUUCUUAGGACCAGCAGUG
RNAcentral lists this non-coding RNA (25 nucleotides) under Mus musculus (house mouse). Lineage: Eukaryota; Metazoa; Chordata; Mammalia; Rodentia; Muridae. The record is from RNAcentral.